AUACGGAGGAUGCAAGCGUUAUCCGGAUUUAUUGGGUUUAAAGGGUGCGUAGGCGGUUUGCUAAGCGGGAGGUGAAAUGCCGGCGCUCAACGUCGGAAGUGCCUCCCGAACUGGUGGACUGGAAUGACUCUGCCGUGGGAGGAAUGUGUAGUGUAGCGGUGAAAUGCUUAGAGAUUACACAGAACACCGAUUGCGAAGGCAUCUCACGAAGGGUUGAUUGACGCUGAGGCACGAAAGCGUGGGGAUCAAACAGGAUUAGAUACCCUGGUAGUCCACGCAGUAAACGAUGAUGGCUAACCGCUGGUUUAUUCGGAUCAGUGGCCAAGCGAAAGCGAUAAGCCAUCCACCUGGGGAGUACGACCGCAAGGUUGAAACUCAAAGGAAUUGACUGGG
This 393-nucleotide ribosomal RNA is filed under the name uncultured bacterium. RNAcentral's name for it is "partial 16S ribosomal RNA". It matches the Rfam family "Bacterial small subunit ribosomal RNA", at positions 523 to 918 of the family's 1533-position model. The record is from RNAcentral.